AUCUAGUCACGGAUAUAGCAUCAUGCUUUUCUUGGUGAACUCAUGUUCUUGAUCAGGCAAAAGAAGAAGAGGAUCUGAAAUCUCCUCGAUCUCUCGACCUCGAGGUCUAUCUUCUUCCACAGCCUCCUCCGAUCCCUCCUUCUUCUUCGCCCUCUCUUCCCCUUUCGUCGCCGUCGAGCUUCGCGCUCUCGGUUGGAGGAGUCCGGCUCGAAAAGAUGGAGGAUCGAUGGGUGGCUGUAGAAGACGGCGAGCCCGAGCCAAUCUCCGAAUCUUUCACUUGCUGCGUUUGCCUGGACCUUCUUUACAAGCCAGUCGUAUUACCUUGUGGCCAUAUCU
This is a long non-coding RNA of Syzygium oleosum, 336 nucleotides long. RefSeq lists it as uncharacterized. NCBI's taxonomy places the organism in Eukaryota, Viridiplantae, Streptophyta, Magnoliopsida, Myrtales, Myrtaceae. The transcript has 3 exons. The record is from RefSeq and is a predicted model, not a curated record.